AGUCAGACAAGCUAUCGCCUCCUUUCUUGGYAACAGGUUUCCGCACUGAAGGCGUCUGCUUCUCUCGAACAUUUUUUGCUCUGAAAUGACGACGAGAUGGUCGCUAGAAUGUGUUUGGGGGCCGUGGAGGUGCUUUGGGUUUUCGCGGAUCUCUUCUGAUCCCCGUGACUUUAAGUGCAUGCUGCGCCGUCCGUCAUCUCGUGACGUCUCGGUGCUCGGAACAGCUCUGACUAUUUUGUUUUCCGGGCACUAGCGACAGGCGAGAGAAGUUUGAUUCUCUCCUAACCGACGCCGCCGGCCGUCGUGCUGGACUCGGAUUGAUCGGAUAUCAUCGAGCCGCCGGCGUGCUGGAAGCUGCGUGGGAGAAAUGAAGCUCAUGACGGCGCCCAGUUAAAAAACYAAAGCAAGUGCGCUCGCAUAGCGCUGCUUGCUUUUGUUUCAUAUA
This 445-nucleotide unclassified non-coding RNA is filed under the name Rossmaessleria scherzeri scherzeri. Its description in RNAcentral is "internal transcriber spacer 2". Lineage: Eukaryota; Metazoa; Mollusca; Gastropoda; Stylommatophora; Helicidae. The record is from RNAcentral.